CCUACGGGAGGCAGCAGUAAGGAAUAUUGGACAAUGGGCGCAAGCCUGAUCCAGCCAUGCCGCGUGAGUGAUGAAGGCCUUAGGGUUGUAAAGCUCUUUUAUCCGGGACGAUAAUGACGGUACCGGAGGAAUAAGCCCCGGCUAACUUCGUGCCAGCAGCCGCGGUAAU
This 169-nucleotide ribosomal RNA is filed under the name uncultured bacterium. RNAcentral's name for it is "partial 16S ribosomal RNA". It matches the Rfam family "Bacterial small subunit ribosomal RNA", at positions 338 to 524 of the family's 1533-position model. The record is from RNAcentral.